UACGUAGGUGGCAAGCGUUGUCCGGAAUUAUUGGGCGUAAAGCGCGCGCAGGCGGUCCUUUAAGUCUGAUGUGAAAGCCCACGGCUCAACCGUGGAGGGUCAUUGGAAACUGGAGGACUUGAGUACAGAAGAGGAAAGCGGAAUUCCACGUGUAGCGGUGAAAUGCGUAGAUAUCCGGAGGAACACCGGUGGCGAAGGCGGCUUCCUGGACCGACACUGACGCUGAGGCGCGAAAGCUAGGGGAGCAAACGGG
Molecule: ribosomal RNA, 253 nt
Filed under: uncultured bacterium
Lineage: Bacteria
Description: partial 16S ribosomal RNA
Rfam family: Bacterial small subunit ribosomal RNA
Source: RNAcentral